RNAcentral lists this ribosomal RNA (301 nucleotides) under uncultured bacterium. RNAcentral's name for it is "partial 16S ribosomal RNA". It matches the Rfam family "Bacterial small subunit ribosomal RNA", at positions 509 to 808 of the family's 1533-position model. The record is from RNAcentral.
CAGCAGCCACGGGAAUACGGAGGGGGCUAGCGUUAUUCGGAAUUACUGGGCGUAAAGCGCACGUAGGCGGAUCAGAAAGUCAGAGGCGAAAUCCCAGGGCUCAACCUUGGAACUGCCUUUGAAACUCCUGAUCUUGAGGUCGAGAGAGGUGAGUGGAAUUCCGAGUGUAGAGGUGAAAUUCGUAGAUAUUCGGAGGAACACCAGUGGCGAAGGCGGCUCACUGGCUCGAUACUGACGCUGAGGUGCGAAAGCGUGGGGAGCAAACAGGAUUAGAUACCCCUGUAGUCCCUGUCUCUAUACA